AUUACAUUGGCAUAAACAUGAAUAUACUAAUAUUAUACACAAAAAUGUUUCCUUCAACCCAGAAGUUCAUUUUUUUUCCCUUUGGAUUUUAAAAGAAGUGAAAACAUCAACCUACGGACCCCUGAAAGCACUGUGAGCCUGAGACAUCGGGCUUGUUGAGACAUCAGGCUCAUCUGAUGGAGAAGUCAGCCCUGCUAGAACCCAAGUCUCCCAGCCUGAACAGCACCAGCACAAAGCCCAGAGAUGGCCAGAGACUUGCCCAAGGUCACACAGCACAUUGCCAGCUGACUCAGAGGCCCCCAUCCUGCCUUCCCGGCACCAAGUCUUGCAAACCUGGGGCUGAGACAUGUGAGCAGCCCCAGAACAGAUAAAACAAAGCAGGAACCACAUCAGCAACAAAGGCAAGACCCGAGCUCCCAUUCUGGGAAUUGAGUGCUGCCUGGCUGGGUGUCCAGAGCCGCUGACGUCUUGCCUGGUGACCUUGGGCCACUCCUGACCUUCCAGGAUCUGGCUUCCAGGAUCCUGGGAAGCAGGAGCUGGCAUUUCCCUCUCUCUCUCGGACCCCAGUGAAUGUACAGUAGGGCCAGCAGCAGGGAUUUUCUCAUCCUUCCCACAGACCAGUCACUUGGUUCAAGCAGAUUCCUCUCAUCUUCCCAGAGGAAUUCAGCCCAUUUCACAGAAGAACAAACCAAGGGACCAAGUGAAAACACACACAGCCUCCCAGGCUCAGUCAGGGCAGCCCAGGAGCACAGACCAGAAGCUUGGGACACCCUAAGGAUCUUCUCUUCCCUUCAUCACCAGCAUUUCAUCCUGUGGAUUCAGUGUCUCUGAAACGGUUUCGAAUUGUCCAUUCUAGACACCACAGUGGUCCCGGCGAAGACCCAAUUAUCUUCAGCCUGGAUGCCGCCUCAGUUUCCUAUUUGUGUUUCUUGUUCCCUCUAUCCCAGCCCUACACAAUCCCUGUUCUCCAAGGCAACUACAGAUGUUCUUUCUUUUCUUUCUUUUGUUGUUUAGAGACGAGGUCUUGCUCAGUUGCCCAGCCUGGAGUGCAGUGGCAUGAUCAUAGCUCACUGCAGCCUCAAACUCUCAGGCUUAAGUAAUCCUCCUGCCUCAGCUUCCAAAAUGCUGAGACAACAGUCAUGAAGCACUGAAACUGGCCAGUUCAUUUUAUUUCCAA
This is a long non-coding RNA of Rhinopithecus roxellana (golden snub-nosed monkey), 1177 nucleotides long. RefSeq lists it as uncharacterized. The transcript is spliced from 3 exons. The record is from RefSeq and is a predicted model, not a curated record. Lineage: Eukaryota; Metazoa; Chordata; Mammalia; Primates; Cercopithecidae.